UCCCUUUGCUCUUCUUCAAUUUCAUCAGGGUCAUACGCAGACCUCUUUCCACCACCCAAAGUCUGGACUGAUUCCAUCACUUCCACAUAGAACUGCACAUCUUUGGUCUUCUUGUUCCCCACCAUGAUAUGAUUGUGAAGGUGGAAGUGGAGAAGAGUGAUCAUCUCCCUCUCUGCAGGCUGGAAAAAUGCAUGUUUAAUGUUUACAAACAUAACAUCCACACGCUCAUCAUUUCUACUAGUUGAAAAUCUAAAGCCAUUUACAUGAGCUUCCAGAGAACCAGGGAGUUUUCUACCACGGCCACCAAAUGCCGGACGGAUCCAAAGGUCCGCCAAUCUUAUUGGCUUGAAUCUAUUCCCAGCAAGCUGAAGUUUCUCCUGAGUAACCAAGGUUGCCCUCUCAGCCCUCUCAGACUCCCUAGCCACAACAUGCCGUCUAAGUGUCUUAAUCUGCUGUACCACUUCACUGAUGUGCCUAGGGUCCUUGGACCGAAAUGAAACCUCCUUCAGGUAAAUAGCCCCCGAGUACUUCAGUGAAUUCGCAUCAUGUGGAUUAAAAGGAGUUCCUGGCACGUUAAAUAUAAUGCGAAUAUAGCAAUUUCUGUUGGUGUC
Molecule: unclassified non-coding RNA, 611 nt
Filed under: Hevea brasiliensis (rubber tree)
Lineage: Eukaryota; Viridiplantae; Streptophyta; Magnoliopsida; Malpighiales; Euphorbiaceae
Source: RNAcentral